GGUACGUUUCGUAAAAUACUUCAUUCUGAACCCAGGACUCUGCCGAGCUCCCGUGUUGGUUGAGACUUGUAGAAGCAAUGAUUUAUAAAUUACAAACAGCAGCAAAGCAACAGCUGUUUCAGCAUCUGUCAUUGCCUGUGACAGAAAUACACGCAAAGCCCCGGGAACCUCAAGGUGUCAACCCAAGCAACCUGCUGCUACAGGCUUCCAUCAAUCAGAGUGACCGGCGCACGGCCACGGCUCCCAGUGGCAGCAAACAAAUGCUUCCAGCACGCUGCUCUCCGCCUGCCCUGGUGACUAACAGCUCAGGGGAAAAGAAGUUUGCAAGCAAUUUAUGGGUGGAAAAAAAAGCCAUACUUAGCAACGGGAGGAACUCCUUAUCGCCACGGCGGGUGGAGGAGGACGGCACAGCCACGCUCGGGAUGCAAGCUGCACGUUGGAGGAAGAAUAGAUUUUCUUUCUCCUUCGUUAUCCUUUGGCCACAAACGUGUACUUAAAAGUCCU
Molecule: long non-coding RNA, 504 nt
Organism: Gallus gallus (chicken)
Lineage: Eukaryota; Metazoa; Chordata; Aves; Galliformes; Phasianidae
Source: Ensembl